Molecule: ribosomal RNA, 496 nt
Filed under: uncultured bacterium
Lineage: Bacteria
Description: partial 16S ribosomal RNA
Rfam family: Bacterial small subunit ribosomal RNA
Source: RNAcentral
GAUGAACGCUGGCGGCGUGCCUAAUACAUGCAAGUCGAGCGAACAGACGAGGAGCUUGCUCCUCUGACGUUAGCGGCGGACGGGUGAGUAACACGUGGAUAACCUACCUAUAAGACUGGGAUAACUUCGGGAAACCGGAGCUAAUACCGGAUAAUAUCUUGAACCGCAUGGUGCAAUGGUGAAAGACGGUUUUGCUGUCACUUAUAGAUGGAUCCGCGCCGCAUUAGCUAGUUGGUAAGGUAACGGCUUACCAAGGCAACGAUGCGUAGCCGACCUGAGAGGGUGAUCGGCCACACUGGAACUGAGAGACGGUCCAGAAUCCUACGGGAGGCAGCAGCAGGGAAUCGUCCGCAAAGGGCGAAAGCCUGACGGAGCGACGCAGCGUGAGUGAUGAAGGUCUGCGGAUCGUAAAACUCUGUUAUUAGGGAAGAACAAAUGUGUAAGUAACUAUGCACGUCUGGACGGUACCGAAACAGAAAGCCACGGCUAACUACGU